This 516-nucleotide unclassified non-coding RNA is filed under the name Hevea brasiliensis (rubber tree). Lineage: Eukaryota; Viridiplantae; Streptophyta; Magnoliopsida; Malpighiales; Euphorbiaceae. The record is from RNAcentral.
GUGAGAUAAACCCAAGCUCAUUGGGGCCAAGUCUUGAGAUGCAAGACCAGAAAUGAGCUCAGUCAACUGACUUCUAACUCCUCUCAUCAAUUCCAUGACAGCAUUAUUAUGAACACAAUCAAUUUGCAAUUUCUCUUUAAUUGCAUUUCCUAGCUUUGAAUCAGCAACCCCCAAAGUUUCACCAUCACAGUGUGCUUUCAAGAACUUGCGCAGUCCUUUGCUGGGUUUGCUAUCUAUCAACAACGUAGCUGCUGAUAGAGCUUCUGAGGUGUUUUCAAACUUGGAGAAAGCUUUUAGCUUCACGACCUUUCUAGCGGAAUCAGUUGAGGAGAAGUCCUUCCACAAAUCCUCAACUUUGGAGAGCUUUCCCUCAUCCAAAACUUUGAAAAGGGCAAAACCUGCCGGUGUUUCAAACAAUACCAACAUCUCCGGAAGAAUCUUUUUCCGGCGCGCCGAUUAUGGAACUACGACGGAUUUUCACCUCCACAAAACGGAACUCCGAGAGAGGAGAGAAUU